GGCCCGGCGGGUGGCGCUGGAGACGAUGAUGCUGUCCGGCGAACCGUGGUGGCGGAUCCAUCUGCUGGAGACCGGCCGGUUCGUCUCCGGCGCCGUGCUG
RNAcentral lists this transfer RNA (100 nucleotides) under Pseudonocardia autotrophica. RNAcentral describes it as "tRNA-Ala". The record is from RNAcentral. Lineage: Bacteria; Bacillati; Actinomycetota; Actinomycetes; Pseudonocardiales; Pseudonocardiaceae.